GACAGAGGGUGCAACCGUUGUUCGGAAUUACUGGGCAUAAAGGGUCUGUAGGUGGCUUGCUAAGUCAGACGUGAAAUCCCUCAGCUUAACUGGGGAACUGCGUCUGAUACUGGCAAGCUUGAGUGCAGGAGAGGAACGCGGAAUUCCAGGUGUGGCGGUGAAAUGCGUAGAUAUCUGGAGGAACACCGGUGGCGAAGGCGGCGUUCUGGACUGCAACUGACACUGAGAGACGAAAGCCAGGGGAGCAAACGGG
This 253-nucleotide ribosomal RNA is filed under the name uncultured bacterium. RNAcentral describes it as "partial 16S ribosomal RNA". It matches the Rfam family "Bacterial small subunit ribosomal RNA", at positions 524 to 776 of the family's 1533-position model. The record is from RNAcentral.